RNAcentral lists this ribosomal RNA (550 nucleotides) under uncultured archaeon. Its description in RNAcentral is "bacterial SSU rRNA". It matches the Rfam family "Archaeal small subunit ribosomal RNA", at positions 326 to 879 of the family's 1478-position model. The record is from RNAcentral.
CGGGGUGCAGCAGGCGCGAAAACUCCACAAUGUACGGAAGUACGAUGGGGUUAUCUCGAGUGCGGUCCGAUAAGGGCUGCUUUUCCAUAGAGUAAUAUCCUGUGGGAAUAAGAGGGGGGCAGACUGGUGUCAGCCGCCGCGGUAACACCAGCCCCUCGAGUGGUGGGGACUAUUAUUUGGCCUAAAGCGUCCGUAGCUGGCUGUAUCCGUCCCCCGUUAAAUCCAGCGUCCUAAGCGUUGGACCGCGGGUGAUACCAUACAGCUAGAGGGUGGGAUAGGUGAGCGGUAUUUCUGGGGUAGGGGCGAAAUCCUUUGAUCCCAGGAGGACCACCAGUGGCGAAGGCUGCUCACUAGAACACGCCUGACGGUCAGGGACGAAAGCUGGGGCAGCGAACCGGAUUAGAUACCCGGGUAGUCCCAGCUGUAAACGAUGCUAGCUAGGUGUUGGGUCGGCCACGCGCCGCCCCAGUGCCGCAGGGAAGCCGUUAAGCUAGCCGCCUGGGGAGUACGGCCGCAAGGCUGAAACUUAAAGGAAUUGGCGGGGGAGCAC